CCUACGGGAGGCAGCAGUGAGGAAUAUUGGUCAAUGGGCGAGAGCCUGAACGAGCAAAGUCGCGUGAGGGAGUACUGCCCUCUGGGUUGUCAACCUCUUUUGUCGAGGAGCAAAAGCCGGACGUGUCCGGCUGUGAGCGUACCCGAAGAAAAAGCAUCGGCUAACUCCGUGCCAGCAGCCGCGGUCAUAUGGAGGAUGCGAGGGUUAUCCGGGUUUAGUGGGUUUAAGGGGUGCGCAGGCGGAUUUAUAAGUUAGCGGACAAUUCGUGGGCGCAACCCCAGCGAGCCGUGGAAACUGGGGAUCUUGAGUGUACGAGAGGUCAGCGGAAUGCGUUGUGUAGCGGUGAAAUGCAUAGAUAUCACGCAGAACCCCGAUUGCGAAGGCAGCAUACCGGUGCACAACUGACGCUCAGGCACGAAAGCGUGGGUAGCGAACAGGAUUAGAUACCCCUGUAGUC
Molecule: ribosomal RNA, 457 nt
Filed under: uncultured bacterium
Lineage: Bacteria
Description: partial 16S ribosomal RNA
Rfam family: Bacterial small subunit ribosomal RNA
Source: RNAcentral